Molecule: transfer RNA, 72 nt
Filed under: Capra hircus (goat)
Lineage: Eukaryota; Metazoa; Chordata; Mammalia; Artiodactyla; Bovidae
Also listed under: 1 other name
Rfam family: tRNA
About the family: Transfer RNA (tRNA) molecules are approximately 80 nucleotides in length. Their secondary structure includes four short double-helical elements and three loops (D, anti-codon, and T loops).
Source: Rfam by way of RNAcentral
UCCCUGGUAGCUCAGUCAGUAAAGAAUCUGCCUGCAGUGCAGGAGACCCGGGUUCAAGCCCUGGGUGGGGAA